Molecule: ribosomal RNA, 492 nt
Filed under: uncultured bacterium
Lineage: Bacteria
Description: partial 16S ribosomal RNA
Rfam family: Bacterial small subunit ribosomal RNA
Source: RNAcentral
AGUGAACGCUGGCGGUAGGCCUAACACAUGCAAGUCGAACGGCAGCACAGUAAGAGCUUGCUCUUACGGGUGGCGAGUGGCGGACGGGUGAGGAAUGCAUCGGAAUCUACUUUUUCGUGGGGGAUAACGUAGGGAAACUUACGCUAAUACCGCAUACGACCUACGGGUGAAAGCAGGGGAUCUUCGGACCUUGCGCGAUUGAAUGAGCCGAUGUCGGAUUAGCUAGUUGGCGGGGUAAAGGCCCACCAAGGCGACGAUCCGUAGCUGGUCUGAGAGGACGAUCAGCCACACUGGAACUGAGACACGGUCCAGACUCCUACGGGAGGCAGCAGUGGGGAAUAUUGGACAAUGGGCGCAAGCCUGAUCCAGCCAUACCGCGUGGGUGAAGAAGGCCUUCGGGUUGUAAAGCCCUUUUGUUGGGAAAGAAAAGCAGCAGGUUAAUACCCCGCUGUUCUGACGGUACCCAAAGAAUAAGCACCGGCUAACUUCGUG